This is an RNA transcript of Oncorhynchus kisutch (coho salmon), 4265 nucleotides long. It is a transcript of the gene named zinc finger and SCAN domain-containing protein 2-like, with no coding region annotated. Lineage: Eukaryota; Metazoa; Chordata; Actinopteri; Salmoniformes; Salmonidae. The record is from RefSeq and is a predicted model, not a curated record. The transcript is spliced from 3 exons.
UUGCCUAGUUAAAUAAAGGUUCAUAUAUUUUUUAAAUGUAACUUCAUUACACUGUUACACUAGCAUACAAACUCGGUAGCACAGAGUUGAUCAUCCAUAUGACCUUGGGAAAUAGGGCAUUGUGGGUAGUUUAGAAGAUUUCCCGAAAUAAGUUAAUAAAUAUGUAAUAACGCAAAAAUAUAUGUGUGUAAUUAUAGGUAACCAUAAAGUGACUACAACUAGCUUAUUAAGUCUUUUACCACACGGUAUUAUUACUCUGGUGAGUAAAAACUCAUGCUUCCUACACUUUAACUUUUUGUCUGAAGAUAAAAUAUACGUUUUACUCAACUGCAUUACCCACUCCAGUCAGCAGAUGGCGAUGUGGGACAUUAAAGCCAAUGCUGCUAGUGUGACUUAUCAUCUAGAGGACGGAACGCUUCUUUCAACAGCAGCAACAGUUAAUCAGCCACCUCCGUAGCUUGCUAGACAAAAUAGACGAACCAAUAUAGCUCUUUACAUGCUUUAUUGUUUAUUAGCCACUGUGUUUUAAACACACUUCUGUCAUCUAGUUAGUUAUCCGAUUUAAUUUCAUAUUUAAGGUGUUGUUGUUAUUAGUCAGCUAGCGGGCUGGUUAAGUUAGCAUUGGCCUAGCUAGCUAACAUCUCCAACCAUGAGUUCACUAAGCUACUCUCCUCCUGCUAAAGAAGAGGGGGGCUGCUGGACGGAGAAAGAAGCUCUCGUCAAAAUACAAAAACAAGUUGGUGAGGCUGUUACAGUGAAAGAAGAAGAGAAAGAAUUUUCAAUGAAAGAAAAGGAAGACGUGUUCAGAGUGAAAGAGGAGGAGGAUGCAGUUUUUGGAGUGAAAGAGGAAGAGGGGAAGAUGACUGUCACAUUGGAAGAAGAGGAGGAAAUUUGAUUUCUGGGCCCAGUUUCCCAAACGCAUCUUAAGGCAUCCAAUGGUGCCUUAGCCGUAAGAUGGUUUUGAGAAACCGGGCCCUGAUUAAUACUAGUAAGUACUGUCUUAAAUACCAAGGCACAAAACCUGCAGUUGUUGAACUGAUGUGUGGUGUUAAAGGGGAAAUAUGCAAUGGCUACAUCCGUUUUUGGACUUUUAACCCUUUCAUGCGCGAGUUCCAAAUAUCUCUUAACGGUCGCUCCAGCGUGAGUUUUUUUAUGCACGUGAUGUUAGAAUGUUCUCUCCAUUCCAGAAUGUGAUUGAUACGUAACAGUACAUUUUAUCCGCGCUGCCCUCAAACUAAAGCACGCAGCUUGUUUAUAUUUAUAGGCUGUUUCAACUUCAAUUUCAAAUGAUUUUCUAACAAGUUUUUAAUUUUCUAAAAACAGUAAGAAUUUAGGUGUGUUCCGCCUCCUCAUUCAUUCACAUAAAAAUAGUCCUUUUGCGGACAAUUACAUUUUUGGGACAUUUCUGACACGGACAAAAUUCCCCAAGCACUUCCCAAUUGUUUGUGUUCACGUCUGCAGACAUUUGCUCAUUUCCCGUCAGAACAGGAUCUGCACACGUGUUCACAUUUUUCCAUUUUCCAUUCCACAUUUCUAUUGUAUGUAUGGAGCAUAAUAUAUUUGUGUAUAUUCUUUAUAACCGUGGACACGUGAGGUACCGUUACUCAUUUUAUAACCUUUAUGGUGUUCUAGUCAAUUGUGCUUAUGUAGCCACAUUCUUCUAUUAGCUCUGUAAAACAAUGCUAAAUGCGUCAGAGAAGUAUUAUCUUGGGUUGUAUUUUGAAGCUACAUGGCCUUAUGACUCCCAAGUGGUGCAGAGGUCAAAGGCACAGCACAUCAGUGCUAGAGGCGUCACUACAGACUCCCUGUUCAAAUCCAGGCUGUGUUUCUAUCAAAGUAAGUGCCUUAUUACGUUAUUAUAGUUUCCGUGUAACGUUUCUGCUGUAGCUCACUAUGUAUGGAUCAUAAUAUAUUCCUUAUAACCGCGGACACGUGAGGUAACGUUACACAUUUUAUAACCUUUAUGGUGUUAUAGUCAAUCGUGCUUACGUAGCUACUAUUAGCUUGUGUUGUAUUUUGAAGCUACCCUGGCCUUAUGACUCCCAAGUGGCGCAGCGGUCUAUGGCACUGCAUCUCGGUGCUAGAGGCGUCACUACAAACACCCUGGUUCAAAUUCAGGCUGUUUCACAACUGGCUGUGAUUGGGAGUCCCAUAGUGCAGCGCACAAUUGGCCCAGCGUAGUCUGAGUUUUGCCGGUGUAGGCCAUCAUUGUAAGUAAUAAUUUGUUCUUAAAUGACUUGCCUAGUUAAAUAACAAAAAAAUGUGACCAUGGUUUGUUUAUUUGGUCUAUUCAGCAUAGCUCUGUUCUGCCCUGCCUUGCCCCCUUGCGGAGCUCAAAAGUUAGUUUCUUACUGUUAUAACUCAAAUCUGUAAUUUUGUCAAUGCAAUAAACAAUUUUUUAUAGCAGUGUUUAUUAUGUUACUUCUUUGUAGUAUUGUUUUAUUGCUAUAUCCUUAUAUUGUAUUCUAAUGAAUAAUUCCUCUUUAUUCUGUACUUUCAGAAACCACAAACAUUAUUUGCCAAUAUCAUAACUGGAGCUGGACAUCUUUGGAGCUGAAGAAUGAGGACAGCUUUUGUAUGCUAACGUACACUCCUUAACAGUUUUACUGGAUGAAAACACAGCAAGAAAACACAUAUGCCAAUAUGUAAUAGUCAUCUAUUUUAUUGCAGUGUUGGUAGUUGGUAGUAGAGGACAAAAAACUGAAUAUGCAAAACCCAUAUUCAUUAUCCAUGCAGUGACUGAACAACAACUGCAUUUCCACCCCCACCUCUAAAGGCAUAGUAUCAUGGCAGGUCACCUGUCAAGUCACCUGUCAGGCAGACUUUGCAGUGCCUCCGUGUGCGACUACCUUGAGAAGCAGUUUGAGGGACUUUGCAGGGAAAAUGCCGUGCAGUGAGGCGUAGGGGAUUGUCUACAGCAGGACGGCCCCCAGUGGAUGGGCGCCGAGGGGUGUGGUGCUCCUCCAGCAGCUCUCUCAUGAGGUUCUCUCUGUAUUUUUGCUCCAAGGCAUAGCGAUUGGUCUCCUACUAUGUUUCCCACCAGCUCCUCUGUCAGAAACAACUUGAAGAACUCUGCCUCAGAGGGAAAUGGCAAGGGGCGUUGCACUCCAGACUGGGACUCGUCAAAGCAAACAGCAGGGCCAGGAGGGGUGAAAUGACUGGUGAUCUUCCAGCUACCACAGAACUCCUGUACUUCAUCCACUGUCGGUCUGCCUCCAUCACCACCAGCAUCUUCAAAGUGACCUGGGACUUUGUCAGUGGACAAGGGAAAUUCAGAUUCAGGGUUCUCAAUGGCUACAAGGUUUAGGGGGCGGCUCCUCACUGUCAGAAUCUGAUUCCUGACUUUCAUACUCAGACUCAUUGUCAGAAUUUUUUUUACAUCUCCAGAAUUUCCACAUUUCUGAGUUGUCUCCUUUUGAAAGGCAUUGAUAAUGCUACAGCUUAGCUCAUUAGCUACAUGCAUAAACAACAACACUGAAUGGAGCAGAGUGGGAGGUUAUGUGGUUGACUGCCGGCACGCGCCACUUGUAUCAAUAAAUCACUCAGAAAAUGUUUUGUGUGGCAAUUAUUUGUGUAUUUACGGUUUUAUUCACGUUUUCAAUUCUAGGUGACAAAUCAUGCAUUCCGAUUCUUGCACAGAUUGUAAUGGGCACAUAUUAUGUGUGUAAAAUACAUUUUUGAAGGCUGUACUGAUUAUGAUGAGCUAAGCUAAUUCCAGCUGUGUAGCCAUGUCUGUUGACAUACAAUAAUGCAUUCUGGGUUUCACGUCUGUUUGACCAAAGAUGUUAUAACAAAAUGAGGUGAGUAAGAGUUCGCAAAUUGUUUGAGGACUUCCGGAAAUUAAUGGUGGGAUGUGAACGACGGUAGAUGACACACCCCUUCAACAUGCAUACUAUAAACAGACCAAACUCAUCUCGUCUUUUAUUAUCUUCGUUGUCUGUGAGGAAAAAUGCAUGGCUGCGCUGAAACUAAUUUUCGGAUUACUUUCGAUUUCUAUAAAGUGUUUUACCUAGUUAUUUCGAUCAAUGGUGAGCUCACCCGUGAUGUGAUUAAUUAUACAUAGUAAUUGCUAUUAGCUAAUUCAUAUUGUAGUUUAUGUCAGCCGAGAGUUAGAAAAUAUGACUGCUUGUGUUGGGUCAAUCUUUCCUCAGCGCUAGGACAAAUGUAGCCUACAUUUUUCCGGUUAGGAUGAUUGUGUUAUGCUAUAUAUACACUUCUGUGAAUACCUGAACAUUGCAUCCAAAAAUAAACUGCUGACAUUGUGG